RNAcentral lists this ribosomal RNA (656 nucleotides) under Amblyomma americanum (Lone Star tick). RNAcentral's name for it is "partial 16S ribosomal RNA". The record is from RNAcentral. Lineage: Eukaryota; Metazoa; Arthropoda; Arachnida; Ixodida; Ixodidae.
UUCUCUAACUUUAAUUAUAUAUAUAUAUAUAUAUAAAUUAUUACAAAUAAUUUUUUAAAAAAAUUAAAUUUUUGAAAACCGAAGGGGAGACAGAAAAGAAGUAGAAAGUAAGUAUUUGUACCUUUUGCAUUAGGGUUUUUUAAAAAAAAAUAAAUUUUUAUUUUUCUCGAAAUAAAUUGAGCUAUUUAAUUUUAUAUUAUUUCUUGUUUUAAAAAGAAAUUUAAAUAAUAAAUAGAGGUGAAAUUCUAUUCAAAAUUUAAGAUAUCUAGUUUUUAAAAAAAGAUUAAAAAUCUUUUUGUUUUAGUAAUUAAAUAUUAUAAAUAUAAACAGAAAAUUUCUUUGGGGAUAAGCUCAAAAAUUUUAAUUUAAAAUUCUAAAAUUUUUAUUAAAUAAGGAUUAAAAUUUUCCGGAAAAUUUUAAUAAAUUCUUAUUAAGGGGUUUUUUAAAAUAAUUUAAUGUUAAAAAAAAAAUUAACAGUUAAUUUUUAUAAAAAUGACAAAAUUAGUAAAAUUCCCAUUUUUUCAAUUUUUUGAAAUUUUAAUUUUUUUAAUUAAUUUAAAGUAAAUGAACUCGGCAAUUUUUUUUCUUGACUGUUUAAUAAAAACAACUCAUUUAGAAAAAUUAAUUAAAUGAAAAUCCUGCUCAAUGAAUUAUUA